Marmota monax (woodchuck) is the source of this 6446-nucleotide long non-coding RNA. RefSeq lists it as uncharacterized. The transcript has 3 exons. Lineage: Eukaryota; Metazoa; Chordata; Mammalia; Rodentia; Sciuridae. The record is from RefSeq and is a predicted model, not a curated record.
AGCUCUGGAGGCUCUUGACUUGCUUCUGGGCUUCAGCAGCCAUGCGGUUGGCAUGGCUGAGCUGGAUCUCCAUCUCAUUGAGGUCGCCCUCCAUCUUUUUCUUCACCCGCAGGGCCUCAUUGCGGCUGCGUGUCUCUGCAUCCAGGGAGGUCUGCAGCGAGUCCACCACCCGCAGGUGGUUGCGCUUGGCCUGCUCCAUCUCCUCGUCCUUCUCUGCCAGCUUCCGCUCAAUCUCUGCCUUGAUCUGGUUGAACUCCAGCUGGGCUCGAAGGAUCUUGCCCUCUUCAUGCUCCAGGGAGGCCUGGGAGGAGGGUGGGGAGAGAGGUCUGAGGCUGACAGUUAGUGCCCAGGGUGUGUGUGGUGGGCUUCUGUCCACAAACCAUGGAUAUAGAGAGUGUGAGAAUGAUGUAAGUGACUCAGUCAGAGAAGGAGAAAGAAGAAGGAAGAAAGAGAAUGUACCAGGCAAAUGAAAACAAGCCUAAGAAAAGGUGAUUCAGGCCCUCACAGUGGAGAGCCAGGCAUGAAGACAAAGAGGAAAAUGACGAGAAAGGUGUUGCCAAGGAAACGGAGGCAAUCAGGCACAGAGUGUUAAAAACACAAAGAGGCAGGCAGAGGCGGGAGGGGAGGUGAGUGGAAAUGGGAACUCAUCUAGGGUACAAUAAGUGAAAUGUUUGCAUGGAGUUGAGCGGUCCCACAUGCAUUCUUUCCCCAAAUAUUUUUUGAGUGCCUGCUAUGAGCCAGGCACUGUCCUGAUGGGUCAGUGUGCAAAACAGACCAAGGGGAGAUGAGAGCAGAGACUGCAGCCAUGAGUUUGGCCUCUGCCACCCCUUCCCCACCCCACCCUAUGCACCCACCUCAGCCUCCUCCAGGGCUGACUGCAGCUCCAGCUUCUCAGCCUCUAGCUGCUUGCGGACUUUCUCCAGCUCGUGGAUACUCUUUCCACUUGAACCCAGCUGCUCAGUCAGGUCAGAGAUCUCCUCUGUGUGAAGGACAUGUGACUCAGUUGGGGACUGCUGUGGUCCAAAAUGGGCUGGAGGCAUGUCUCUUUGCUUAGGCCACCUUUGGGGUCCCUGGGCAGACCCUCCAUGGGGACAUUGCACAUGUGGACCCUCCCUGCCUUGGGGAUGCUCACCCUGCAGGUUCUUGUUUUCCCUCUUGAAGGUCUCCAGGUGCUCCAGCGACUCCUCAUAGGCGUUCUUGAGCUUGAAGAGCUCGGUGCUGAGGGAACGCGCCUCCUUCUGCGAAGACUCCAGCUCGGACUGUGACUCCUCAUACUUCUGCUUCCACUCGGCCAGGAUCUGCAAGGGACGAGGCUCACUGUGCAGCCUCCGAAUCCAGUCCCAUGUCCAGGUGCUUCAGGCCCCUUGCCUAGGCUCAGCCUUCCUCCCCUGCCUCCGAGGAGGUGGGCUCUGGCCUUGCACUGGUACCAUGCCUGUGGCCCUCCAGACCUGCACACUGGCUGUGGCCCCACCCAUGACCCACCUUGUCAAAGUUCCUCUGCUUCUUGUCCAGGGCCGCGGCGGCAGCGUUAGAGCGCUCCACGUCCACCAUCAGGUCCUCGAUCUCGUUCUGCAGCCGGUGCUUGGUCUUCUCCAGGGAAGAGCACUUGGCGUUGACGGCCUCCACGGCCUCCUCUGCAUCCUGUAGCCUCUGGGCCAGCUUCUUCCUGCCCAGCGAAGGGUGGGAGAGGAUGAGGAAGAACGAGGGUGUAGAUUUGGACAAGAGAAAACAACAUGAACCGUUCAGAAGAUAACCUUGAAAACUUAGAAGUAGUGUUCAGAGAAGCCUAAAGACAGGCCCCAGGGACUGAGAACUGGGCAGGCAGAGUAUCUCAGUGGCAGGCGUGGAAGACCUGCAGCACCUGGGAGGGGUGGGGGUGGUGUCCCUCUGUCCCUAGACAAGCCUCUCGGCUGUGAUGUGGAGGGGGCAUGGGCUUCUGCAGACCCUCCCCUCCCACACCACAGUGCCCCGCCCCAUGGGAGCACUCAGCCCUCAGACAAACCUUUUGUUCGUCUUAUAUUCGGAUGAGAAACAUAACGCGAGCAAAAAGCUUCCCCGAGAGGAGCAGGAGGUGGGGCUGGGGCAGGGUCCUCCUCUAUUGUCAAACACUAGCUAAACAUCCCCUGUGUGGAAGCUACUAAGAAGAGGACUUGGCAGAAAGUCCUGACCUCAAAGGGGCUUCAGCCAGAGGCCAGCUGAUUGGGACUCACUUGGCCUCCUCCAGCUCCUCUGUUCUCUGGAUGGCAUCUGUCUCAUACUUGGUCCUCCAUUGGGCCACCUCUGAGUUGGCCUUGGAUAGGACACGCUGCAGCUCAGCCUUGGCCUCUGUCUCUUCCUCAUACUGUUCCCGCAGCAGGUCACAGUCAUGCCGGGCCGACUGCAGUGCGUGGGCCAGGGCGUUCUUGGCCUAGGGAGAGGUGGACACCAGAAGCAGGGUCAGCUUCAUCCAUGAGGCAACACCAGCCCUUGCCCAUCUCCUCACGCCAAUCUCAACUUGCUCCCUAGGCUUCCCCAGUGGACCUGGCACAUUUUGCUGAGUAUUAAUAACAAUGAGCGCCAGUACGAUGGCAGCCAUCUCACCACUGCAACUUAUGGGGGAAAGAGAGACUCAGAGAGGUCAGGAGGUUUCCCCAAGAUCACCAGGCUAUACGAGGCAGGUCCCAUUUUCUGGAGAGACGCUAUGCAUGUGCAUGUGAAGGGUGUAUGUACCUGAACCUGUGGUGGCUCAGGAGGCCCAGACACUGGGAUCCAGGCUUACCAUUCUCAGUCUGCAGCUUGGCCCGCUGGCUGGUGAGGUCAUUGACAGAACGCUGGGUCUCCUCAGCCUUGCUUCGAUGCUCAUUCAUCUGGUCCUCUAGGGUCCGGCACAUCUUCUCCAGGUUUGCCUGAGAGAGGGAUGAACAAUGCAUGGAUGUUGGGGGUGGGGGCUGAAAGGAGUGAAGGGGAGCAAUUAAAGGAGAAAAGAAGAGGGAAAGUACGGAAGGGAGGAGGGGAUUAGAGAACCAUGUAGAAGAAGGCGAGUAGGAAAAGGAGCCAUCAAGGAAGAAAGAAAAAAAAAGGGGGAAAAGUGGUGACAGGUAGAGGGUCCUGGAGGAGGGGACUGGUGGAGCUGGGCUCACCUUGGCCUUGAUGAUCUGCUCCAUGUUGGAGGUGACAUCGUCCAGCUCCAGCUUGAACUCGCUCUUCUCCUUCUCCAGCUUCUGCUUCACCCGCUGCAGGUUGUCGAUCUGCUCACCCAGCUCGGCCACACUGUCAGCGUGCUUCUUGCGCAGGGCUGCGGCUGUGGCCUCGUGCUGCAGCGUGGCCUCCUCCAGGUCCCUCCUCAUCUUCUGGAACUCGGCCUCUCGCUUCUUGUUCAUCUCGAUCUGCACAGAUGUGGCCCCUCCGGCCUCCUCCAGCCUCUCACUGAUCUCCUCCAGCUCUCGGGACAGGUCUGAGCGCAGCUUCUCCACUUUGGCCCUGGCCGUGCGCUCAGCCUCCAGCUCCUCCUCCAGCUCCUCAAUGCGUGCCUGGGCCCAGAUGUGAAGGGUUUAGACCACCUGCUUGGACCCCUCCAUUGGGCCCUCACCCCAAGGCUCUAAGACUCCUAGCCCGCUAGGAACAUUAAGUGAGUUUAGCUCUACUAGAGAGGUGGGCAUGAAAGCAUUUGGGGAAGGUGGCUUGAACAGCAGAGUUAGCCUUCCUUUGGGUGGAUGCUAUACAUUCUCUUUAUUGAAAGGAAAGCAGUUGAAGCUUGAUCUUAAAGGACAAAGAGGUCUAGGGCAUUUAAAUCAGUUAAAAGAAAAAAAAAAAAGACCAAAGUUUAAAAGCAGUAUCUGUCUUAUUAGACAACUGUAGAUCUAACUCAGUGUCUGCUGUUGAGAUAAGAACCUCAGAGUUCACUGUCGGUGUUGAAAGGCUCUUAACAGUCACCGGUAACAGGGGAAGGCAUGGAGACCCAGAAAUCUGGAGCAGUCUUCCCAUAUUCACCCAGCUAAGGCUGAGCUGAGACAGGAAACCAGGAUUUCUACCCUCCAGACGUAGACCUUUUCAGGGUCUCUUCUGAUGUUUUCCUUGGAUCACACAGCCCUUUUAGGGGACACUGUGAUAGCUUUGUGUGUCCUUUCAUGAACACAAGGUAAGCUCCUAUAAUUCUCAGGGAUGGGACAUUCUGCAGGAGGGAAGCAGGGAGGCUGAGAACCAACUCAAAGACUGCAGAGUCCAGCCUAGGCUUUCUAGACCUCACCUGAAGCUCUUUGAGCUUCUUCUGCAGCUGGCUUCCCAGGGCCUGUUCAUCUUCAAUCCUGGCAUUGAGUGCAUUCAGCUCAAAGUCCUUCCUGUAGGGAAGAAUUGAGGGUGAGGUAAGGCUAGCUGUGCUCUCUAGAGGCCCAAUAGCAAUCACUGGAGAUUACAAUGAAACAAAUAGAGAAUAGGAUUUAAUCAGAAAAUUGUCCAGGGGUAUGUAGGAUCCCUGAACACCUGCCAUAGGAUUGAAGUCCAACAAUAAUGUAGUGGGAAUAGCCUGGUAAACUGGGCUCUGUGGGUCUUUCCUCUCUUUUUUUCUUCUAUCUGAAAAAUGAGAAGAUUGGACUAGCUCAUUUUUAGUUUGUCAUUGUUACUUUGGACAACUUGUUAACCUUUAUGAGCCUUAGUUUCCUUGGUAGGACUCAAGAUACCAUCUUUAAAAUGUGGCUGAAGAUGGCUGGGGAGGCUGAAGCAGGGGGAUCAUAAGUUCAAAGCCAACCUCAGCAACUUAGAGAGGCACUAAGCAACUUGGAAAGACCCUGUCUUUAAAUAAAUUAUAAAAAGUUCUGUGGAUGUGGCUCAGUGUAAGUGCCUCUGGGUUCAAUCCCCAGUACCAAAAAAAAAAAAAAAAAAAGGUGGCUGAGGAACUAAUGGAGUCCUAGAUUGAUUCAUUCAUUCAGUAAAUUCUGCACCUGGGAAAGUGAGAAGACCCCUGUGCAAACACAAGUUGAGGUACCAUAAGAUCUUCAGGUAUCAAAAUAUGUUAUACAACUCACCAUUCACCAAGUCUGGAAGGUGGGUGUGUAUACUUUGGGAGGAUUUGAAAUAAUUGGGACCACAAGUUACUCAGAAAAAGAAAUGAACUGGCCCCUCCACUUCUUGGGCAUGUGGGCAGACUCAUUUCUUUGUAGCUUUCUGGGUUCUCUCUGAAAAACCUAAAGGGACUUUCCUGAGAGAUCUUGUGUGACGGCUUCCUCCACGUCAAGGAACUGAUCUCAAAUAGAAUCAUGUACAAAAGGGACCAAGCACUUGUUUUCAUCCCUACUGAGUGCCCCAUAAGAAGAAAGGGCUUGAGGGAUCCAGGUAAAACUUUUUGCCAGGGAGGACAACAAGACCCUGAUGUAUGGGUCUUGGGGAGCACAGCCCUCUUCCAGGGGACCUUUGCUGAAGUUUAAGCAUCUUGUUAUGGACGCUACCUGAGGGCGUUGCCUCUCAGGUUGGGUGUCAGCUUGUCUUGCUAUGGGCAGAGCAGGCUGUAGGGCUGGGGAGGAGGAAAGGUAGUGAGGAGCAGAACAUUGUACUUUUUUAGCCGCUCAUCUAGCUGCUGCUUGUCAUUCUCCAGGUCCAUGAUGCUCUCUUGGGUCAGCUUCAGGUCACCCUCCAGUUUCCUCUUCGCUCGCUCCAGAUCCAUGCGCACCUUCUUCUCCUGCUCCAAGGAUCCCUCCAGCUGGUGAAGACAAGGCCCAGCCAUGCCCCAUGAGCUGGCCCUCCACAAGUGACUGUGAGUGUGCAAGUGGCUCCCUGGCUCACAUCAAAGAUCUCGAAGCCAGCGAUGUCCAGGACUCCUAUGAAGUACUGGCGUGGCUGCUUGGUCUCCAGGGUGGCGUUGAUGCGUGUCACCAUCCAGUUGAACAUUUUCUCAUACACCGCCUUGGCCAGUGCUCCGGUGGCAUAUAUCACCUGUGAGGUAGGGGAAAGACCCAGAUGAACAGACUUACCAGGAGGAAGGAAUUUGAAAGCUCCCACCUCUCCAUACUAAGAUCCCCACCCCAUCCAUUUUAUCUUCUGAAAAUGACCCACCUGCUGGACAUUCUGUCCCUUGGUGACAUACUCAUUGCCCACUUUCACCCGAGGGUGGCACAGCCCCUUGAGCAGGUCAGCUGAGUUCAGCCCCAUAAGGUAGGCGGACUUGUCAGCCUCUAAAAGGAAAAGUCAAGUAGCAAAUUUGGUAAGGGCUCGACUGCUCAGCACAUGUGGCCCUCAGUGACUCUGCCCAGCUUCCCUGACUCCCACCUUCAGUGCCAUCGGGCUCCGCCUGCUCCUCCCGCUGCUUCUGUUUGAACUUCAUGUUUCCAAAGUGCAUGAUGGCGCCUGUCAGCUUGUAAAUGGAGCUCUUCUCUUCUGAAGUGAAGCCCAAUACAUCAAAGGCAUUCUGCAGGCAGACCCCAAAUUGGAGGAGCCCAGAAAAGGAAGUAUGACUGGUAAAUGAGAUCACUCAUAAA